CGGGGGAGGGGAUGGAGGCGUCCAAAGCGGCUGGUCGCAGGCGGAAAGGUGCUGUGCUCACCCGGCCGAGGGGUGCCCGGGUAGCCUGGGGCGCAGGGCUUUCAAGGACGGACGUGGGCUCCGCAGGGAGCUGGCCCAGUGCCUUGGCUUCGUGGGAGGGGACGUUAGAGGAGGUCCUGAUGGGAAAGGAAAGCCGGGGAAAAGAGGCUUUCCUCAAUAAAUAUUUUACACCUGCCCUAAGGCCUGCAGUGUGCGAGAAACUGUGUUACCGUCCAAAACAACACUAUGCGCAAACAGUGGCAUCUCCAUUUCACAGAUUAAAAAACUGACGCUUAGAGAAGUUAAUGAUGUUGUCCAAGGCCUUACAGUCUUUCGAAGAACUAAAAUGACAUCCAAGUGUUUUUGACUCUGUGACCUGGGUUCUUUUCCCUCCAAUACAGCAACGAUGUAAUCACCGUUUAUCACAGCCAAGACGUCUGAAGGAAAGAAAGUUCUCAGGAUGACUUGAUUGCAUACUACUAUAAAAGGGUCAAGAUCUGCAAUGUCCCCCUCCUGCCUUUCUGCCCUCUUCAUACCUGAAGAUGGCAAUGAGCAGCCUGGCUCUCAGUGUGUGAAUACAUGCAUGGAAGGUGAGUCAGGAUCAGUAACACUGAGGCUCAAAGGUGAAGGCUGUGCGGUUGGAAAAGAGGGCGCUGGAAAGCCUUAAAUAUAAAAUUAGAGUUGCCAGAAAAGAAGAUGAUGCCACAGCUGAUUGUCAGGGAGCCCAUCUCUCCUGAAGCUGCAGUGAGGAUUCCCAUCAGUUGGCUACUUUGCAGUCAACAAAGGGCUCCUGCUGACGCUGCUCCCGUUUGCUUUUUUCAGCAGUCCUCUAGGAUGUGGGCAUCAUUGUCCCAUGUUGUGCGGAUGGGAAAAGCGAGGCUCAGGACUGGGUGGCUUGCCCAGGGCUGGCCAGGAAGAGGCUGCACCUGGCCUUGAGGAGAGGCAGCGUGCCUGGAAAGCCCAUGCCCUUCCUGACACACCACACUGUUCCUUGUCACAUGCUGCCUGCCCGUCUCUGCAUGAAGGUCACACUGGGGCAGAAGCCCAUCCUGACAUUCCUGGGGCUGAGUGGAGGCCUCAGGAGAGGAGGAGGAGGAAAAUGAAAUCGACCCUUUAGAUUUAAGCCAGCUGGAUUUAAGAGCAGAGGAGCAGCCUUGUCUUUGGAAAAGGAGACCAGCAGCCAAGUUCUCCCAUCUGUGUCUCCACGUCGGCAGGAAAGGACUGUAUCUGUCCCAAAGUACCUAAUGUUGGCAAACAGAGCAGAGAACCCUGCCUGGUCCAGUGCCUGCACCAGGUGCAUCACCAUCUCUUAGGAGUUCUUGGAAAUGAAAAUUCUUGGUCCUGGCCUCAGACCUGCUGAGUCAGUAAUGCUGGGGGUGGGACCCAGCUUUCUGUGUUGUCACAGGCCCCCCAGACGAUUCUGAUGCACAAUAAAGUUUGCUUAAAUAGCAGUGAAAGUGGUUAUAUUGGUUGCCCAUGAAGACUUCGGUGAAAAUGGGAAAUAAUUGUGAUGUGCCCCCAGGCACCUGCCUCAGAAGAUGGGAUUCAGGGAUGACCUCUCUGGCAUCCAGGGUCACCUUCCUGGAACCAGACACUCCAGACUCUGUUUGAGGUAGAAAUGAAGGAAAGUUAUAUUUAUUUGUUUGUAGAAUGAAAAAACACUGGAAAGAAAUAUGACAAAAUAAUUACUUUAAAACAUGAGUGAUGGGAAUGUAUUUCUUGCUAUAUUUUGCUACAUAGAUAAGAUGUAUGAAAAUUAAAAAUAGAAAUAUAUUUUUUGAAUGCUAGAGUUUAAUAUUUAAGUGUCUAGUAUUAUAAUUGAGUAAAUAUAGGGAAUUAUAACUUAGAAAUAAGAUUACUAUAUGACGUUAACUGCCACAGAAUUAGUCUUUGCAGUAGCAAAAACACCUGUUCAAGAGGCUGUCUUCAGUAACCUGGAAGGCAGAACACAGGACUGCUGAGCCUGCUGUGAUGAGGUAAAACAGAAUGUUGGUUGCUGCUGGCUGCACUUAAUUAAAUAUUAUAAGAAAGAGACAAACUCAGGGAAGAAUUGGCUUUUAUGCAAGCAAAAAAUGAAAGGGAAUUUUCAGUAUGUGGUAUUUUACAAGGUUGGAAAAGCUAACUGCAUCUGGGACCUAAAAACAAGAGGUAAACCUGAGCAAGCUUUUGCACAACUGGCACACAAUAAACACAAUAAAUGAUAAUUUUACAAAUUCCUUAUUUUCCAAAGGCCACCAUGAAGUCUUUGUAUUGUUUCCUACAAUACAAUCUUCUAACCUUCUGCUCUGCUAUUGUGAGAAGUUGUGCCAAAGCAACAGAGAUGGCUUUAGCGCGUUAGAUGUCCUUCUUUUGCAGUAUCACUUUGUCUUGUAUAUAGGAGGUUUUCAAUUUGCUUACUCCGAAGUCAGAGGGUAACUUGGCCCUAUUGAUUUGAGCUAUAUUAGCUUACGUAGAUCAUUAACCUUAGGAGAACAUUUCGCCUCUUGACCCUAUUUGGUUUUUGUCCAUGGUCCUGCAAAGAUCACUCAACCCAUUUUUGAGACAAUCAUUUAUAUGCAUUUUUUCAUCAAUUUGAUAAUUUUCUAUAUUACACCAGACACCCUUUUCCAACCUAGGAUUAACAUGUUGAACAAGAGAAAUGUGAUCACUGCCCUUAUAGACCUGAUUUCCCUUCAAAGGUAUGAAUAAAUGAAGAGCUUGAGCUGUUAUAAAUGUGUACAAUAACCUGUAAACCUCAUCCAUGCAGCAAUGAUAUACUAGAGUCUUAGAAACUAAAGGUGAAACAUUAGUAGCUAACGUAGUCCUCACUUGUGCUUUUGUCAUGAUGAAGUAGCUUGUGCAGGAAUUGUAAUCUUGUUGGAUACAUCAAGAAAAUGUGGAUAAAGUAGAAAGUAACAUCUAUUUAGGAGUGCUAGGGAUUAGAGGUACCAAGUUUUUGGAAAGGGGAACGGGUAACAGACAGGUGAGAUGAUGUUCUGCAACCACAUUUCCCUGGGGGAAUUUGCCACUUCUGGGCACAAGGCAGGAGGUAUCAGCUUUGGCCAAGUAGAGGAGCACUGCUAUCAGAGCUUAUGGCAUACUCAGGGCUGGAAAAGCAGAAGUACAGGCACGAUCUCAUUGAGAAAGUAGGGUGCAGAGAACUUAAUCUAGCAAGUGAUCAGUUUUCCCUUAAGAUAACUGGCACAAUUUGAAGCUCCAUGGAAUGGGAGACAAUAAUGAUAACUCCACACCCUGGAGAGGGCCCAAAGAAUGUACCAAGUAUAUUAGUUUCCUACUGCUGCUCUAACAAUUACCACAAAUGUAGUGGCUGAAAACAACACAAAUUUAUUAUCUUACAGUUGUUGUAGGUCAAAAGUCUGCAAUGGAUCUCAGUGAGCUAAACUCAGGAUGUCGGCAGCAGGUGUCCUUUUUGAAGGCUUGACAGGCAAAUCCAUUGUCUUGCCUUUUCCAGCUUUAGAGCUGUUCACAUUUCUUGGCUCAUUGCCCUACCCUCUUCCAUCUUCAAAACCAGCAAUGGCGGAGUCUUUCUUACAUUGCUUCACUCAGACACCAGCUCUUCUGUUUCCCUCUCACACACUGAAAGGAUUCUUGACUAGAUCAGCCCACCCAGAUAAUCCAGGAUAAUCUCUUUAUCCUGAAGCCAUUGUGGUUAGCAACUUUAAUCUGCAGCCUUAAUCCUCCCUUGCCUGGUAAUAAAACAUGUUCACAAUUUGUGACUUUGGGACCCAGACAUCUUUUCUUCCUACCAUUUUCCUGCCUACCACACCAAGCUUUCAGUUGGAAGCCACUGGAGCCUUCCAAAACUGCAACCUAGUCUUGAUUCAAUUCAACCUUGACUGGAUGAAAGUGAUCAGUCCCUACUCUGUUUUAGCAGAUUAAAAGUGUGAACGCAUUUUGGAAAUGAUGGCAUAUCAUCUGGAGCUUCUAAAAUAUUUUUAUACAACAUCCAGUUGUUCAAGCAAAAACUGAAAGGCAUGCCAAGAGAACUGUAUGUCCAAAAAACUAAUAGAAAAACACGCAAUAUAAAUACAUCUGCAAAUAAUCCAGAUAUUGCAGUUAACACACAGACAAGAACCUUUAAAAACUCUGAUUAACAGGGUCAAGAGGAUAAAGUAAAAGUGAUGAAAGUAGAGGAAAAGAUGGUGAAGGCAGUGGAUAAUGGAGAAUUUCACUGAGAAUUAGAAUCUAUAAAGAAACCAAGUGGAAAUUCUAGGAAAGAAAAAGGCAAUAAUUCCAGUACAGACAGAAGAAAAAGUGUGCCUUCCGCCUGCUUGACUGUGGCAGCCGACUGAAUGGGGGAAUACAGGAAUUACAAAAAUAUGGAAAGAGCAGUCUUCCAACUCAGAAAUAACUUUGUAAACAACACAAAGAGAUUGUUUUACUCCAAAAAGGAAUCUAAAAGGAACUGCGGGAACAACGAACAACAAGUCGGGACACCGAGACGAAUGGUGAGAAGGGGUUUAUUAUUAGUGAGGGCACUGGCUCAGCAGAUCUUUAUCCAAAGGCUUAGGCGCGAGCACAGGGGGGUCCCAUGCCUUUUAUACAUUCAUUACAAGGGCAAAGGAGAGUCAGUCCCCAAGAAUGUUGCACGGAGUGCUGUUACUGUACUAUAGGUUCAGGCAGAAUGCUGGUUAUGUCUUAACCUAUCUCAAUAAAGGGUACACGGAUACUCUAUUGUAAACUAA
Molecule: long non-coding RNA, 4724 nt
Organism: Manis javanica (Malayan pangolin)
Lineage: Eukaryota; Metazoa; Chordata; Mammalia; Pholidota; Manidae
Source: RefSeq, a predicted model, not a curated record